GGUGGUUCUCGGGUGAUGCACACCGGAAUUGGGCUCCCUCCUCUCUGGUUCCAGGUGGAGCACGUGAGAACCGCA
Non-coding RNA from Myotis davidii, 75 nucleotides. The record is from Rfam. Lineage: Eukaryota; Metazoa; Chordata; Mammalia; Chiroptera; Vespertilionidae.